This is a non-coding RNA of Triticum urartu, 135 nucleotides long. The record is from Rfam. Lineage: Eukaryota; Viridiplantae; Streptophyta; Magnoliopsida; Poales; Poaceae.
UUCGUACUCCCUCCGUCCGGAAAUACUUGUCAUCAAGAUGAAUAAAAGGGGAUGUAUCUAGAUGUAUUUUAGUUCUAGAUACACCCAUUUUUAUCCAUUUUGAUGACAAGUAUUUCCGGACGGAGGGGUUAUCAU